Molecule: unclassified non-coding RNA, 253 nt
Filed under: uncultured Pseudomonadaceae bacterium
Lineage: Bacteria; Pseudomonadati; Pseudomonadota; Gammaproteobacteria; Pseudomonadales; Pseudomonadaceae
Description: contains 16S-23S intergenic spacer region
Rfam family: Bacterial small subunit ribosomal RNA
Source: RNAcentral
UACAGAGGGUGCAAGCGUUAAUCGGGAUUACUAGGCGUAAAGCGCGCGUAGAUGGUUUGUUAGGUUGGAUGUGAAAGCCCCGGGCUCAACCUGGGAACUGCAUACAAAACUUGCAAGCUAGAGUACGGAAGAGGGUGGUGGAAUUUCCUGUGUAGCGGUGAAAUGCGUAGAUAUAGGAAGGAACACCAGUGGCGAAGGCGACCACCUGGACUGAUACUGACACUGAGGAGCGAAAGCGUGGGGAGCAAACAGG